RNAcentral lists this long non-coding RNA (22627 nucleotides) under Nicotiana tabacum (common tobacco). RNAcentral describes it as "long non-coding RNA (NTAB_LNC008066)". Lineage: Eukaryota; Viridiplantae; Streptophyta; Magnoliopsida; Solanales; Solanaceae. The record is from RNAcentral.
AAAUAAUCAAAGCCAAAAUAACCGAAUAAAAAAAUAGUUAAAAUGUCGCUCGGCAUAUACAACACAACAUUCUCAGAAUCAAGUACACUAUCCCAAAACCCGAAAACUCACGGAACUACAAGUCUUUGGAUAUCUACAAUGUCUAACUCUAGAAUAUCUAACAGGGGAAAGAAAUAUAGAAGGGCAAAUGUUUAAAACCUAGAAUAGAAAGUGACUUCUCGGUCUGGGGACGCGGCAGAUGUACCUCGAAGUCUCUAGAGCAGUCGCCUCGCCUCACGGGUGAUAGGAAUGAGUCGCAGUACCUGGAUAUACACAUGAAAAACAUGCGCAGAAGGGGCAUGAGUAUACCACAGCGGUACUUAGUAAGUGUCAAGCCUAACCUCGGUCAGGUAGUGACAAGGAAGGUCAGGGCCCUACUGAGGUGAAAUAAAAUAUAAAGAUCAACAGUAUAGAACAAAACAGUAUAAAUAAGUGCAGCAGUAAAUAACAAAGGAUGUAUAGGACAUCAACAACUAUACAGAAGCAAGGUAAACACGGAAAGGAAAUACAGCUCAGCACCAAUAAUAACAAUCGGGGAUCUCCCAAGAUACCAUCCUGUAGUCCCAUAUGUACAUAUCUAAUGGAUCUCCCGGGAUGUCGUCCCGUAGUCCAACUCAUAGUGCGCGGGGAUCUACCGAAAUCCCGUUCCGUAGUCCCAAAUGUAAACACCCAGUACUGGGGGAAUCUACCGGGUGCAUUCUUGUAGUUCCAUAUAACUGUGCAAGGGGAUCUACCGAAAUCCCACAUCCGUAGUCCCAAAAUAAAAAGACAAGAAGGAGAUAUUGGAAUCCCACAUCCGUAGUCCCAAAAUAAAUACACAGUAGCAAUAGGAAAAUAUACAGAAAUGACAAAAUUUCAUAUUAAGGCAAUAAGUGAUUGUAGCCUAGCAUGUUGCACAAAAUUUGGGUAAGACAGGUUGAGCAAAUAAGCAAUUAAGUUACUGAGACAUGCUUUCCGAAGCUAACAACAGGCUUAAUAGUGCAAGUAAUAGAAACAUGAUAGGAAACAUACUAGUAAUUACUUAAAGAAAACCGGAUUUCCAACAAUUAGCACAAGUACGCACUCGUCACCUCACGUACAAGGCAUUUCAAUUACCAAAUAUAUCAAUCCUAAGGGGAAGGUCCCCCACACAAGGUUAGACAAGCCACUUACCUCGAACCGGCUCAAUAAUCAAUCUGANNNNNNNNNNNNNNNNNNNNNNNNNNNNNNNNNNNNNNNNNNNNNNNNNNNNNNNNNNNNNNNNNNNNNNNNNNNNNNNNNNNNNNNNNNNNNNNNNNNNNNNNNNNNNNNNNNNNNNNNNNNAUACCCGAAAUUAGGUAAAAUGACCAAAACGCCCUUCGGGCCCACAUCUCGGAAUCGGGUAAAAUUUAUAUUUUUAGAAUCCUUACGCUCUCACGAGUUCAUGCAUACCAAAAUUAUCCAAAUCUAAGGUCAAAUUCCCAAUCAAAAGUCGAAUUCUAGGUUUAAGAACUUUCUUUCAACUUUUCCCCAAUUUUCAUCUCCAAUCCGGAAUUAAAUGAUGAAACUAACUAUAGAUUAAUGGAAUAUAACUAGAAAGGGUUAAAGAAUCGUUACCCAAUGAUCUCCUCUUCAGUUUCCUCUCAAAAUCACCCUCUCCCGAGCUCCAAAUCAAAUUUUCAACUUUUGAAAUUAAACCCUCGAAAUUUCAUAUUUCUGCCCAGCUGUUUCCGGAUGCGGUCCCGCUUUUGCGGACCAAAGGUCGCAUCUGCGACUUCUCACUUAUGGGCCAGCUUUCGCAUCUGCGACUCCCAAUCCGCAGAUGCAAUACCGCUCCUUCGGAAUUACCACCGCCUCUGCGGUUCCUAAAGAAAUUCCCAAAUUCUGCUUCUGCGGCCACUGGGCUGCUCCUGCGGCACCGCACCUGCGGAACCCAAACCGCAAGUGCGGUUAUGACAGAACCAGCAGCUUCAGCUACAACUCUAACUCCAAAAAUCCUUCCGUCAACCACCCAAAUUCAUUCCGAGGCCCCCGGGACCUUAACCAAAGGCACCAAUAAGUCACAAAUCACUACUCAAACUUGUACCAAUCCUUAAAACAAUUAAAACAACAUCGAAACCUCGAAUUAACAAUGGAUUUAAGCCUAAGAACUCCAAAUUUUUCAAAAAUACACUUUCGAUCAAAAAGUCUAUCAAAUCUCACCCGAAUGACCUGAAAUUUGGCACACACGUCACAUUCAACACUACGAAGCUACUCAAACUUCCGGAAUUCCAUUCCGAACCUCGGAUCAAAAUCUCACUAUCGGACCGGAAACUUCAAAAAUUCAACUUUCGGCAUUUUAAGCCUAAAUUAGCAAAAGACCUCCAAAACACAAUCUGAACACGCCCCUAAGCCCAAAAUCACCCAACGAAGCUAACGGAACCAUCAGAUUUCCAUUCCGAGGUCGUCUUCACACUAUUCCGACUACGAUCAACUUUCCAACACUUAAACUCUCAUUUAGGGACUAAGUGUCCCAAAACUCUCCGAAACUCAAAAUCGAACAUUCGGCAAAUCAAAAUAGCAGAAAUAGACUCGGGGAAAGCAGGUAAUAGGGGAUCGGGGCAUUAAUUCUUAAGACGACCGGCUUGGUCGUCAUAUCCUCCUACACUUAAACGUUCGUUUGUCCUUGAACGAGCAUGGAGACAUACCUGAAGUAGUGAAAAGAUAAGGGUAACGGCUGCGCAUAUCCUGCUCGGUCUCCCAGGUCGCCUCCUCGACCGGCUGGCCCCGCCACUGAACCUUUACUAAUGCAAUGUUCUUUUGACCUCAGCUUUCUAACCUGUCUGUCCAAUAUUGCCACUAGCUCCUCAACAUAGAAUAGAUCCUUGUCAACUGGACUGAACUGUCACCGUGAUACCUCCGGAGCAUUGAAACAUGAAAUACCGAAUGAACUCCUACCAGGCUGGGAGGUAAGGCAAGCUCAUAAGCAACCUCCCCGACACGCCUCAAUAUCUCAAAAGGGCCAAUAAACCUCGCACUCAACUUUCCCUUCUUCCCAAAUCUCAUAAUGCCCUUCAUAGGCGAAACCCGAAGCAGAACCCGCUCUCUAACCAUAUAGGAAACAUCACGAACCUUCCGGUCCGCGUAACUCUUCUGUCUGGAAUGGGAUGUAUGGAGUCUAUCCUGAAUCACCUUAACCUUCUCUAAAGCAUCCUGAACUAAGUCUGUGCCCAAUAGUCUAGCUUCACCCGGCUCAAACCAACCCACCGGGGAUCUACACCGCCUACCAUAUAAAGCCUCAUAUGGUUCCAUCUGAAUACUGAACUGAUAGCUAUUGUUGUAAGCAAACUCCGCCAAUAGAAAAAACUAAUCCGAAGACCCUUUAAACUCAAUCACACACGCACGGAGCUUAUCCUCAAAAAUCUGAAUAGUGCGCUCAGAUUGUCCAUCUGUCUGCGGGUGAAAUGUUGUACUCAACUCCACCCGAGUACCCAACUCAUGUUGAACGGCUCUCCAAAACCAUGAUGUGAAUUGAAAACCUCUAUCUGAAAUGAUGGAAACUGGAAUACCAUGCAGACGAACAAUCUCCCGGAUAUAAAUAUCCGCCAAUUGCUCCGAAGAAUAAGUAGUACACGCAGGAAUAAAAUGAGCGGACUUGGUCAGCUGAUCCACAAUCACCCAAAUAGCAUCGAACUUUCUCAAAGUCCGUGGGAGCCCAACUACAAAGUUCGUGGUGAUCUGCUCCCACUUCCACUCCGGAAUCCCUAUCUGCUGAAGCAACCCACCCGGUCUCUGGUGCCCAUACUUCACCUGCUGACAGUUGAGGCAUUGAGCUACAAAUCCAACUAUAUCCUUCUUCAUCCGCCUCCGCCAGUAGUGCUGCCUCAAAUCCUGAUACAUCUUCACGGCACCCGGAUGAAUGGAAUACCGCGAGCUAUGGGCCUCCUCUAGAAUCAACUCUCGAAGUCCAUCAACAUUGGCUACACAAACCCGACCCUGCAUCCUCAAUACCCCAUCGUCACCAAUAGUCACAUCUCUAGCAUCACCGUGUUGGACCUUGUCCUUGAGGACAAGCAAAUUAGGGUCAUCAUACUGUCGCUCCCUGAUACGAUUGAAUAAGGAAGACCGAGAAACCACGCAAGCUAGAACCCGACUAGGCUUCGAAAGAUCCAAUCUCACAAACUGGCUAGCUAAGGCCUGAACAACUAUCGCCAUAGGCCUCUCCGAUGCUGGUAAAUAAGUCAAACUCCCCAAACUCUCUACCCGUUGACUCAAAGCAUCGGCCACCACAUUGGCCUUGCCCGGGUGAUACAGAAUAGUGAUGUCAUAGUCCUUUUAGCAACUCUAACCACCUCCUCUGGCGCAAAUUUAGAUCAUUUUUCUUGAAUAAGUGCUGCAAGCUCCGAUGGUUAGUAUAAAUCUCACAAGGCACAUCGUAUAAGUAAUGGCGCCAGAUCUUCAAGGCAUGAACAAUGGCAGCUAACUCAAGGUCAUGAACAUGGUAAUUCUUCGCAUGUAUCUUCUACUGUCUAGACGCGUAGGCAAUCACCCUAUCGUCCUGCAUUAACACUGCUCCAAGGCCAACCCACGAGGCAUCACAAUAGACCAUAUAAGACCUCGAGCCUGUAGGCAAUAUCAAAACUGGGGUUGUCGUCAAAGCUGUCUUGAGCUUUUGGAAGCUUGCCUCACACUCCUCUGUCCACUGGAAUGGAGCACCCUUCAUGGUCAACCUGGUCAUAGGGGCCGCAAUCGAUGAAAACCCCUCCACAAAAUGACAGUAGUAACCCGCAAGCCAAGGAAACUGCGGAUCUCUGUAGCUAAGGAUGGUCUGGGCCAACUCUGCACAACCUCUAUCUUCUUCGGAUCCACCUGAAUACCCUUACUCGAUACCACGUGGCCUAGGAAUGCCAUUGAAUCCAACCAAAACUCACAUUUCGAGAACUUAGCAUAUAACUUUUUCUCUCUCAGAGUUUGAAACACAGUCCUCAGGUGCUGCUCAUGAUCUUCCUGACUUCAAGAAUAUACUAGAAUAUCAUCAAUAAAGACAAUGAUGAAUGAGUCAAGAUACGGCCGGAACACAGUGUAUUAAAUGCAUAAAGGCUAUUGGGGCAUUGGUCAGCCCAAAUGACAUAACAAGGAACUCGUAAUGACCAUACCAAGUCCUGAAAGCAAUCUUCGGUAUAUCUCGCUCCCGAAUCUUCAACUGAUGGUAACCUGAGCUCAAGUCAAUCUUAGAAAACACUCGUGCGCCCUAAAACUGGUCAAACAGAUCAUCAAUACGAGGCAAAGGACAACGGUUCUUCACUGUAGCCUUGUUCAACUGGCGAUAAUCAAUACACAUACGCAUAGAAUCAUCAUUUUUCUUUACAAACAAGAUAGGAGCACCCCAAGGUGAUACACUGGGCUGAAUAAAACCCUUGUCAAACAAUUCCUGUAACUGAUCCUUCAACUCCUUCAACUCAGGAGGAGCCAUACGAUAUGGAGGAAGAGAAAUAGGCUGAGUGCCCGACAACAAAUCAAUGCCGAAAUCAAUAUCUCUAUCAGGCGGCAUGUAUGAAAGAUCAGCUGAAAACACAUCCGGAAAAUCCCGUACUACAGGAACUGAAUCAACUGAAGGGGUAUCAAUACUGACAUCUCUUACAUAAGCUAAAUAUGUGUCACACCCCUUCUCAACCAUACGCUGAGCUUAAAGAAAAGAAAUAACUCUACUGGGAGUGUGGUCUAAAGUACCCCUCCACUCAACACACGGUACACCUGGCAUAGCCAGUGUCAUGGUUUUGGCGUGACAAUCAAGAAUAACAUAAUGGGGCGACAACCAGUCCAUGCCCAAGAUAAUAUCAAAAUCUACCAUGUUGAGCAAUAAUAAAUCGGCUCUUAUCUCAAAACCACUAAGAGCAACCAAACACGACUGAUAGAUGCGGUCCACAACAAGAGAAUAUCUCAUAGGAGUAGAAACAUAAGCAAGGGAACUAAAAGAAUCCCCAGAUACACCUAAAUACGGAGAAAAAUAAGAAGACACAUAAGAAUAAGUAGAGCCUGGAUCGAAUAGAACUGAUGCAUCUAUGUGACAAACAAGUAUAAUACCUGUGAUGACAGAAUUGGAGGCAACAGCCUCAGUACGGGCAGGAAGGGCAUAGUAUCGGGUCUGGUCUCCUCCUCUAGGGCGACCUCUACCUCCUCGACCUCUACCUCUGGCUGGCUAAGCAGGUGGGGUAGCAACUGGAGUUGUAACCAUAGCCUGAGAACUAUGCGAGGCACGUUGUGGCUGAGAAGUCUGUGGAGGUGCACCCCACCAAAGUCUGGGGAAAUCCCUCACCAUAUGACGUGUGUCACCACACUCAAAAUAAGCUCUAGGAGGACGUGUUGGUUGUGACUGGCUCGGACCAGGUGUACUGGACUGACCUUUAAAAGCACCCCGCGCAGGAAGCGCACUAGAUACCAGUGGUGCAUAAUAAGGCUCCUGAGGUCUAGGAGGAGCUGGAAUACCACUGGCUGCUGGAAGAGCUAAAUGAACAGGGCGACUCAUAUAACCCCUACCAUGACGACCUACAGCUGGGGCACGGGCACCAGACAAAUGGCCCGACUCUUUAGACCUCUUGACCUCCCUCUCCUCUCUCUCCCUAAUAUGCAUACCCUCAAUCCUCCUAGCAAUGCCUAGCACCUGCUGAUGAGAAAUAUCCAUCUCAACUCACAAGCCAUGCUAGACCUGAUGCUGGGAAUAAGGCCCUCAAUAAACCGGCAAACCUUCUCGCGAACAGUAGAAACCAAGGCUGGUGCAUGCCUAGCCAAACUAGUGUAACAGACAGCAUACUCUGAGAUAGUCAUAGCACCCUGGCGUAAAUGCUCAAACUCUGCGCGCCAUGCGUCCAUGAGGCUCUGAGGAACAUACUCUCUCAAGAACAGAUCUGAAAACUGAGUCCAAGUCAGUGAAGCAGCCUCAUCUGGAUUGUAUAAUUCAUAGGUAUGCCACCACUCAUAGGCAGCUCCUCGAAGCUGGAAAGUACUGAAGGAAACCCCGCUCGAUCCUGAUAUACCCAUGGUACGGAGAAUGCGGUAACUCUCAUCUAGAAACCCAGAGCAUCCUCCGAUGCUAGAUUGUUGAAUAUAGGAGGCUUGUACCUUUUCAACCUCUGAAGCCUCAGUUGCUCCUCCUCGGAAGCCACUGCCCUAUCCUCGGGCUGAACUGGCACUACAGGCGGUACAGGAAUAAUCUUAGGGACCUGCCCAACAUGCACUCGCUGCUCAAGAGUGCGGGCGGCGGGAAUCUGUGCUCCUCCCCCGGUCUGAGAUGUAGUUGUAGCAAGGGGAAGCAAUCCUGCCUGAGCCAGAGUGGUAUACAUGCUCAUGAACUAUGCCAGAAUCUCCUGAAAAGCUGGAGUAGUUGUAGAAGUAGGCGUGUCGGGUGCCUGGACUCUGGCUGGAACUACUGGUGGUACCUCGGCGAUAGCUCGUGCAGGUGCUCUGGCUGCACCACGUGUGCAUCCUUGGCCUUUACCCCGGCCCCGGCCUCUGAUGACUGCAGUAGUGGGCAUAGGUGCCUGAUCAUCUCGGGUAAUACAUGUCAUCACCAUUUGUGAGAGAAUAGAAGACAGAAGUUUAGAAUUUUGAUGUCAAAAUAUCGCACUACAAGGAAAUCAUAUGAAGUUUAAUUUUUCCUAACAGUUACAUAGCCUCUCGUAGAUAAAUACAGACAUCUCCGUACCGAUCAGCGAGACUCUAAUAAGUCGGCUUGUGAUCCAUGACUUCUAUGAGCCAAGAGCUCAGAUACCAACUUGUCACGACCCCAAUUCACCCUUUGUGAAUUGUCGUGACGGCACCUAGUCUCUACGACUAGGUAAGCCUAACAAAUGCGGAACAUAAACGAAACUUGCGAAAGAAAUAAUCAAAGAUAAAAUAAUCGAAAGAAAACAAUAGUUAAAAUGCCGCUCGGCAUAUACAACACAACUUUCUAAGAAUCAAGUACACUAUCCCAAAACCCGGAAACUCACGGAACCACAAGCCUUUGGAUAUCUACAAUGUCUAACUCCAAAAUAUCUAACAAGGGAAAGAAAUACAGAAGGGCAAAUGUUUAAAACCUAGAAUAGAAAGGGACUCCUCGGUCUGCGAACGCGGCAGAUGUACCUCGAAGUCUCUAGAGCAGUCUUCUAGCCUCACAGGUGAUCGGACUGAGUCGUAGUACCUGGAUCUGCACAUGAAAAACAUGCGCAGAAGGGGCAUGAGUACACCCCACCGGUACUCAUUAAGUGUCAAGCCUAACCUCGGUCGGAUAGUGACAAGGAAGGUCAGGGCCCUACUGAGGUUAAAUAAAAUAUAAAGAUCAACAGUAUAGAACAAAACAGUAUAAAUAAGUGCAGCAGUAAAUAACACAGGAUGUAUAGGACAUCAACAACUAUACAGAAGCAAGGUAAACACAGAAUGGAAAUACAGCUCACCACCAAUAAUAACAAUCGGGGAUCUCCCAAGAUACCGUUCAGUAGUCCCAUAUGUACAUAUCCAAUGGAUCUCCCGGGAUGUCGUCCCGUAGUCCAACUCAUAGUGCGCGGGGAUCUACCAGAAUCCCGUUCUGUAGUCCCAAAUGUAAACACCCAGUACUGGGGGAAUCUACCGGGUACAUUCUUGUAGUUCCGCAUAACUGUGCAGGGGGUUCUACCGAAAUCCCACAUUCUUAGUCCCAAAAUAAACAGACAAGAAGGAGAUACCGGAAUCCACAUCCGUAGUCCCAAAAUAAAUAUACAGCAGCAAUAGGAAAAUAUACAUAAAUGGCAAAAUUUCAUAUUAAGGCAACAAGUGAUUCUAGCCUAGCAUACUGCACAAAAUUCAGGUAAGGCAGGUUGAGAAAAUAAGCAAUAAAGUUACUGAGACAUGCUUUCCUAAGCUAACAACAUGCUUAAUAGUGCAAGUAAUAGAAACAUGAUAGGAAACAUACUAGUAAUUACUUAAAGAAAACCGAAUUUCCAACAAUUAGCACAAGUACGCACUCGUCACCUCACGUACAAGGCAUUUCAAUUACCAAAUAUAUCAAUCCUAAGGGUAAGGUACCCCACACAAGGUUAGACAAGCCACUUACCUCGAACCGGCUCAAUAAUCAAUCUGAAACCACGUUCUUGCCACGAGUACUCGACUCCAAAUGGCCCAAAUCUAUUCAAUUCAAUUUCAUAAUGUAAAUAACACUUCAAGUAACCGAUUCUAAAAAGAAAUUCUAAGCAAAUACGCGAAAUUAGGUAAAAUGACCAAAACGCCCCUCGGGCCCACAUCUCUGAAUCGGGUAAAAUUUAUAUUUUUAGAAUCCUUACGCUCUCACGAGUUCAUGCAUACCAAAAUUAUCCAAAUCUAAGGUCAAAUUCUAGGUUUANNNNNNNNNNNNNNNNNNNNNNNNNNNNNNNNNNNNNNNNNNNNNNNNNNNNNNNNNNNNNNNNNNNNNNNNNNNNNNNNNNNNNNNNNNNNNNNNNNNNNNNNNNNNNNNNNNNNNNNNNNNNNNNNNNNNNNNNNNNNNNNNNNNNNNNNNNNNNNNNNNNNNNNNNNNNNNNNNNNNNNNNNNNNNNNNNNNNNNNNNNNNNNNNNNNNNNNNNNNNNNNNNNNNNNNNNNNNNNNNNNNNNNNNNNNNNNUCGCCCUCCCCCGAGUUUCCAAAUCGAAUUUCCAUCUUUUGAAACUAAAUCCUCGAAAUUUCAUAUUUCUGCCCAGCUAUUUCCGCAUCUGCGUUCAAGGGACCGUAUCUGCGGUCCCGCUUUUGCGUACCAAAGGUCGCAUCUAUGACUUCUCACUUAAGGGCCAGCUUCCGCAUCUGCGACUCCCUAUCCGCAGAUGCGGUACCGCUCCUGCGGAAUUACCACUGCUUCUGCAGUUCCUGAAAAAAUUCCCCAAUUUCGCUUCUGCGGCCACUGAACCGCUUCUGUGGCGCCGCACCUGCGGAACCCAAACCGCAGGUGCAGUUAUGACAGAACCAGCAGCUUCAGCUGUAACUCUAACUCCAAAAAUCCUUCCGUCAACCACCCGAAUUCAUCCCGAGGCCCCGGGGACCUCAACCAAAGGCACCAAUAAGUCACAAACCACUACCCAAACUUGUACCAAUCCUUAAAACACUUAAAAAACGUCGAAACCUCGAACUAACAAUGGAUUAAAACCUAAGAACUCCAAAAUUCUCAAAAAUACGCUUUCGAUCAAAAAGUCUAUCAAACCUCGUCCGAAUGACCUGAAAUUUUGCACACACGUCAUAUUCAACACUACGAAGAUAUGUACGCCACGAGGUGGUUUGUUGAUAUGAGGCCGAGAGCCUAGUGAUGAUACCACGAGAUGGCUUGAUAUUGCGCUUGGGCCUGUAAGGGGCCCCUCCAGGAGUCUGCACAACCCUAGUGAGUGCGGUUACCCAUUGUGAUGUGAGAUAUAGCUCGAGGGGCUGGUAUUGUUCUGAGAUAUUGUCCAAGGGGCGGAUUUGUUGACAUUGUGCCCGAGGGGCAAACCUUUAUGUGUUUAUCUUUCUUAUUUAUCGGUCAUUUACUUGUUUAAUUGUGUAUUUGUGCCCGAGGGGCUGGUUUUCCGUGCUUAUCUAUUCUAAGUGCUUUGCAUUCAAUUUCUUAUCUAUUAAAAAGUCAUUUUUAAAGAAUUUUAAACUGAGCUAAGGUGAUUUAAGAGAUUUCAUAGUUUCUUUGCUUUCUUACUUGUUUUGUACUACUCUAUACAGCAUGUUGAUGUAUUUUUCGUGAUUUCCUAUCACUCAGUCUUUAUUUAUGAUUAUUACUCACUGAGUUGGAGUACUCACUUUAUUCCUUGCACCUUGUAUGCAGAUUCAGGUAUUUCUAAACCCGGUAGAGGGUAUUGGUUGAUCGGAGGCAGAGUCAUCGAAGUUUAGCAAGGUAGUUGUCGGCGUUCGCAGCACUGCUUUUCUCCCUCUUUAUUUCAUUAGACUAUAUUUAGUACAUUUCAGACUUUUCCAUUGUAUUUAGACCCUAGUAGAUGCUCGUGACUUGUGACACCCUACUGUCGGGCUGUAUUCAUUUCCGCACUUGUUUUAUUUUACUAAAUCUGUACUUGUUGGGGAUUUAUCGUUAUAAAUAACUUAAAUUGACUUAUUAAACUGUUAAAACUGAAUUUGGGAAUUGUGUCGUCUGGCCUUAUCUUCACGAGAGGUGCUAUCACGACCGGGUCCGGUUUGGGGUCGUAAUAAGUUGGUAUCAGAGCCUAGGUUACAUAGGUCUUAUGAGUCAUAAGCAGGUUUAGUAGAGUCUCGCGGAUCGGUAUGGAGACGUCUGUACUUAUCCUUGGGAGGCUGCAGAACCUUUAGGAAAAACUUCAUAUUCUUGAAUUCUUAUCGUGAAUCCUUGAUUCAGCUUGAAAAGUAACUCUUUGAAUUCCUUCCACGCAUUCAUAUACGCGCAUGAGCGCUCAGUAUCAGAUAUGCAUUGAUGACUUGUGAUUCCUCGAUCAAUGGACGAGAUUUGAUCUCUAUGUGUUGAUGUUGGGCUAGUCUGGAAGACUUGAGGCCGAAUUUUUUUGCCUAUAGCUCGAGCCCUGAGCUGUUGAUUUCGUAAGCGUGUGUUUCUGGAUCCAUAUGUUCUGUUGUGUCCCUAUUAAGGGAGGUGAUGACUGGAUAGCUACGUGAUGAGUAUGUUAUGACUGCGAGGUGUAUUCAUAUGAUUUGGAAAUGACGAGAAGGGUCUGCUGGAGGAUAGAAGAACUAUUAGGUACAUGUAUUUUCAUCUCGAUUUGAGGUAUAGCCCCGAGUUAUGGGUGUGUGAAGAAUCUUUUCAUGUGUUCUAGUUGGGAGUGAAGUGAAUUUCAUGUUGCAGUAUGAGUUCAGACUCAGGAAGAUUAAGUGACUGCGUAAUGUUUAUGACGGUGGAAGGUAUACAGAAAUGUUAGUUUGAGGCAAAGCAGGUAGGGUUAUCUCCUGCGGAUUGUUCUAAAGUUUACGUGAUCCCUUGUGUCAUUUAUUGGAAGAUCCCUGCUACUAGGGAAAUAUAUGUUUUACAAUUUGAAUUUGGGUUGCUCAAGAGAGCAGGAUUGACUACUACGAGAGUGAAUACGAGAUUUGUAGAAGAUAUAAAGUAUCAGAUGGUCUGUGUUCCACGAGCUUAUAAAGGAUUAAGUUUAAUCUCACUAUGGUAUUAUGGCAGCAAUAAAGUAUAUGUGUUAUGAGUUAUUAUGAAUGUGUUGGUCUAUGGGUUCGAGCCAAGUGGGGGAGUCCACUAUUAAUUAGUUGAUUGCACGGUUAUGUGCUAUGUUGGUUCCAGUUUGAGGCGUGCAGGUGAAUCAGUUAUGAUUUGCGGAGGUUGAGACCAAGGAUGGCUCAAGUAAAGGAAAAUUUUGACAAAGGUUAUGUCAUGCUUCAUAGGUGUAUGAGAAUCACGAAAUGUCUUGAGUUGUUGUUGGUAAUGGAUGUUCAGUGCAUAGAGCAUGAAGUUGCUUGGUUGUUCUAGGAUGAGGUUACACUCUGCGAUGUCGGAGUGCUAAUGAGGCAUGGGUUGUUCGGUUCAUUUGAUCAGGCUAAAUGUAGUUUGAGUAGGGUGGAUGGCUUUAGAGAAUGGUUCUAACGCGUUCAAGAUUUUACAUGUAACAAUUGGGUAUUUUCAAGUUGUAUAUGUGGCUAGAAACUAAGUUUUCAUUGGAAGAUGUUAGGACUUGUGGUAUUUUCUAUAUUAAUUAUGGGAUUCUAUAUAUCAGUAUCAGGAAGGUAAAGGUAAUGGCUUUGGAAUCGUAGGAAGUCGCUUCAGGGUAAGCAUUUUAAAUGUGGUGCUGUUGGGAAUAUGUAAGAGAGAGUUCGGCGACUUGUGAGCCUUAGACGGUGUGGUUUUAUGCUUGGGUCUCAUGUAGUGAGUCUGGGUUGAGGAAUUGUGGUGUUAUGGCAAGGAGAAGUAUUUGAAGGUAAUUUAGAAGGAACUAGGAUCAAUAGGAUAGCUUGGUAGUAGGCCGGAUCGGCAUGGUAAAGAUAUGAUUAGUCCUUUGGCUGAUUACGAGGUAAUGAAUUUCUGCAGGUGUUUUGCGGCAAUUCUCUUAGGUUUUAGUGGCCUGCGUAGCUUGGUUGAAUUGGAAGGAUUCAGUUCUGACGGUUUAGUUUUGUGCGAAUGGAAUUCAGAAAGUUCUUGAUGAUUUCUAUCACGGUUAGAUGUGUAUAUUUUCCAUGGGCAUGAAGAGCAUGGGAUGUAUAGUGAUUUUCUCCCAGCUGAGGUCAAAUAGAAAAGUUCUUGGCUAGUUGAGUACGUAGUUGUGUGUGGCUCAGAAUAGAUAUGAAGUUCUCAUGUUUACCUUAGGACGGCAUGGUAUAUGCGGUAUGUUGUGCAAGACUUAGAUAUGCAUGUGUAAGGUUACGGAUCAGUUCUGAAAGGAAGGUCACAAUUCUUAGGCAGCACGGGCAGUUUCAGAUAAUUAGAGAAAUGAGCUUCAGAUGAUUUGGGAAAUGAUCUUCAGAUGAUUAAGGAAAUGGUAAUGCUAAUUGGGGUGAUUUGACGAGGGUAUAUGUUUCAGAAAAAGGCAAUGUGAUUAAGUUGAUGGUACUUCGAUAGUAUUGUAGCACUCUCUUGUUAGAUCAACUGCUGAUAUUCGAGUUUGCUUGGUGGCACAGAAGAAUUUUAGAGUAUCUCUCAUGGAAUGAUUGGGUAUUAGAGGUGUGGCAUGUAUUCGGAUGGUAGAAGUAGGAUCAGGUAUGGUGAUUCGUGGGCUAUAUGGAGUUAGAGACUGGGAGUUCUCGUGUUCAGGCUAUGUUGUGGUUGUGGGUCGUGUGUAUCGCCACUGUUUAGUGACUAUUAGGGUUUGGAGACCCAAUGGAUCUUUUGUUGCUUGGUAUGUUAGAUUUUGGAUGUGACAUUGGGUAUAGACUGAUUGUCUCCGUGUCGUGUUAUUCUGGACUAUUGUGCUAAGGCGACGAUGUUGGCUAUGUCGGGAAUGCCACGGACAGAGUAGCGAGGUUUGACGGAUUAUGUUCUAGUGGAGUGGUUUAUAUUUCGAAGAUCCAGCGGAUGGCUGGGAAGGACCGUCUUUCUUACUUGGGUUUCGUGAUAGAUGUCAGUGUAGAGACUCCUACCAUUUAUUCAGUUCCGGUGGUGAGGGACAUUUCGGAGGUGUUUCUUGUGCUCGGGCAUGUCGUCGGGCAAAGUUGUUGAUUUCGGUAUUGAUUUGGUGAUGGGCACCGUAUCGUAUGGAACCGACAGAGUGAGAGGAGUUGAAGGAGGAGCUUCUGGAACUCCUUGAUAAGGGGUUCAUUGGUAGUGUGUUCUGGAUCGAGACGGCUUUGUUGACUUCGAGUCGCUAUUGGUGAGGGAUGUGUUGAUUCUGUUAUUAUUGAGCUAUUAGUGUUCUGAGGUGAUCUAUGGAUUACUUUUUUGUGUUGCGAGACGUUAUGAUUUGUUGGUUAUAGGCACAGAUGGUGCAGUUCCAAUGGGGGUUCAUAGUGGAAGUCGAGCGAGAAGAGUACUGGGUAUUGCUCGGUGGAUGGCGUAUCGGUUAUGUCCUUUCGGGUUUGUGUGGUGUUAUGUAUUUGCUUCACCGUGGGUAUGAUGAUUUGCUUUGUUUCUAGACAUUAAUUGCGUGUGGUCGUCAAUUUCGAGCAGAGUGACUUGAGGUGUUUCAUGUGGACCAGUGUCUGGAUAGGGUCGCGCAUUGCAGCGAAGUUAUGUGGAGGUAUGACCUUGCGGUUUAGAUUCGUGUGAUCUGUUUCUAUGAUGUGAGACGGGUUCUCAGCCUUGUGUUGUGGUGGUACUAGUGAGCUUGUGGUACAGCUCUUUUGUUUGAGUCAUUUUCAUGAUUUGAGUAUAUUCAGAUUGUUGCUUAUUGGUGCGUGGAUUUCACAAGUUGAGGCAUUAGCCUGUAUUGAUAUGUCAUGUCACCAAAGUAGUGUGUUGGAUUAGAUGAGAUCAUUGGGAUCAUUAAUGAAUACGAAUGGAUUCGAUUUCAGCAUGUUGGAAGGAUAAUAUCGAGGUUCGGCUCAGAAAUUUGCCAUGGUCUUUGCCAAAAAGAGAAGUGGCUUCAUGAAUGGUAGAUCUGAGAAAUGGUUAUGGCUUACUGCAGGUUUCAUUUAUCAUUGGUAGUAUAUGAAAGUGUUGGAAUGGAACUUUAGUUGAUAAGAGGUUUUCUAUCGAUAUUCGGUUGUUGUGUGCAGCUAUUGUGAUUAGAAGUUAUCGCUACAAGUGUUUGAAUUAUGUGGUGUAUCAUGUAAUUGCACCUGAGGUUGCAGGUAUGGGUUACUACUGCUUGUUCGGGCUUAUUCAGAGUAUAGAUAUGGGAUUCGGAUCUUGUGGAUAAUUUCAGAAGUGGAAAUGUGGUUCUAAGGUUUAUGGACUAGGUUGGAUUGUGAAAAUUUCAGUUACAUUGUGUUAUCGGACCUAUGUGAGAUAGGGUGAUGUGGGAUCACCCCCGGGUGUGUGCAUGGCAAGGUUACACAGUGAUUUGAUGGUUUUCGGAACAACUUUGGGCACGUUCGCGGACGAACGUAUGUUUAAGUGGGGGAGGAUGUAAUGACCCGACAGGUCGUUUUGAGCUUUUGCACUUUGCUCGCCAGUUCUCGAGCAUGACUUGCCUCAUGUGAUGGAUUAUGACUUAUGUAAAUCGUUGGCUUUGGUUUUUAGGGUAAUCGGAAUGAAUUUGGAAGAACAGUUCUCAGUUUAAAGCUGGAAAUUUAAAAAGUUUGACCAAGAUUUGACUUGUUGGUAUAUGAUUUCGGAUCGGAAUUUUUAUGAUUUGGUUAGCUCCAUUAGGUGAUUUGGGACUUAGAAGUGUGAUCGGAAUGCAUUUUGGAAGUCAGUGGAAGGUUUAGGCUUGAAUUGGCAAAAUUGAGAUUUUGGCGUUUUCCGGUUGAUAGGUGAGAUUUUGAUAUAGGGGUCGGAAUGGAAUUCCAAAAGUUGCAGUAGCUCCGUUGUGUCAUUUGUGACGUGUGUGCAAAAUUUCAGGUCAUUCGAACGUGAUUUGGUUGGGUUUUUUACCAAAAGCGUAAUUUGGAAGUUCUUGAAAUUCUUAAGCUUGAAUCCAAUGUGAUUUUGGUGUUUUGAUGUUGCUUUGAGCAUUCCGAAAGUUGGAACAAGUUUGAAUGAGGUUAUGGGAUGUUUUGUUGAGGUCCCGAGGGCCUCGAGUAAGUUUUGGAUGGUUAAACGGAUCAAUUUUGGACUUUGGACUUGGCAAUUUUGCUGGUUUUGUGUUGCAGACAAUUUGUUCUUCGCAUUCGCGGUCAGGGACCCGCGUUCGCAAAGGGUGUUUUUCUAAGGCGACGAAUUUGCCUUCGCGUUUCGUGUGUCGCAUUCACGAUGUUGGGAUGUUUGAUUCUCCGCGUUCGCGUGGCCUGUGUUGCGUUCGCAUAGAGUAAGUGGGAGUAGAUGGGUCCCAGCCUUUUUGUGCUACGUGUUCGCGUAAGGGGAAAUUUUGGGCAACGGAUUUUUGUGCUUCAUGAACGCGAGGCUUUGACCGCGUUCGCGAAGAAGGUUUUUGAUGCGUAGGCAGAAUGUUUAAAUAGCCAUUGUCCGCGAUUUUGGGGCUAUCUUUCACCAUUUUUGGGCGAUUUUGGAGCUUUUUGAGAGGAUUUGAAGAGGGAUUCAAGAUAUAACACCUGGAGGUAAGAUUUGUGAACUCAAUACUCGAUCCUAUGUUAAUUCUUACUUGUUUAAUCAUGAAAUAUAUGAAAAUUAAAGCCUAAAAUUGGGAAAUUAGGGCUUGACUUGGAAGAGUGUAAAUUGGGAAUUUGAAGGGGCAAUUGAGGUCCGAUUCUGAUGUUCUUGGUAUGUAUAGACUCGUGAGAGGACGAGAAUUCUAUUGAUGUAACUCUUAUCGGAUUUUGAAAUGUGGGCUCGGGGGCUGUGUUUGAACAAUUUCGAGAUUUUUGAUGUAAAUUAGAUAUUUUCGAGUGGGCUUUGUUCCCUUAUCAUAUUUUAAUGAUUAUGUACUGAUUGUGGCUUGAUUUAGAGCAUCCAGAGGUCGAUUCAUUUGAGAAAAGGCAUCCAGGGCUAGAGUUUGGACCGGAUCGAGGUGAGUAAUUAUUGUAAAUGACGUUCUGAGGGUAUAAAACCCCGGAUGGCACAUUGUUGUGCUAUAUUGAGGUGACGCACACGCUAGAUGACGAGCAUGGGGUCGUGCACUGUUGGGGAUUGUGACUUAGUACAUCCCGAAUGACUGUUCUAUUGCGUAUUUGACUGAAAACUAUUUGUUAUCAUCAUGUUUUGGGCUGAAUGUCAUAUUUGGGCCUCGUGCCAACUAUUUGAACCCUUCGGGGAUUUUUAUUGAUAUUUCCUCACUAUUUUGACUUUAAACUUGUACUCAGUCAUGCUAUAUUCUACUGUUUUUAAAACUCAGCCAUGUUUACUCUGCUUUAACACUUGAAAGAUAUUUCAAAUAAUAUUUUGCGCUGAGCAUCAUGUUUUACUAUUGCCCGAGUGGCUUAUGUGAUUUUUGACUAAUUAAGGCGGAGGGCCUGUAUUGUGAGGAUACUUUUGGGUCAGGCUGCACGCCGCAACGAUGAUACACUGAUUUUGAUUAUGAGGCCGAGGGCCUGAGAUAUGUACGCCAUGAGGUGGCUUGUUGAUAUGAGGCCGAGAUCCUAGUGAUAAUGCCAUGAGAUGGCUUGAUAUUGCACUUGGGCCGUAAGGGGCCCCUCUAGGAGUUUGCACACCCCCAGUGAGCGCGGUACCCAUUGUGAUGUGAGAUAUAGCCCGAGGGCCUGAUAUUGUUAUGAGAUAUUUCCCGAGGGACGGAUUUGUUGACAUUGUGCCCGAGGGGCGAACCUUUAUGUGUUUAUCUUUCUUAUUUGCCGGUCAUUUACCUGUUUAAUUGUGUAUUUGUGCCCGAGAGGCCGAUUUUCCGUGCUUAUCUAUUCUAAUUGAUUUGCAUUCAAUUGCUUAUCUGAUAAAAAGUCAUUUUUAAAGAAGUUUAAACUGAGCUAAGGUGCUUUAAGAGAUUUCACAGUUUCUUUGCUUUCUUACUGGUUUUGUACUACUCUAUGCAGCAUGUUGAUGUAUUUUUCGUGAUUUCCUAUCACUCAGUCUUUAUUUAUGAUUAUUACUCACUGAGUCGGAGUAUUCACUUUACUCCCUGCAUCUUGUGUGUAGAUUCAGGUAUUUCUGAACCUGAUAGCGGGUAUUGGUUGAUCGGAGGCAGAGUCAUCGGAGUUUAGCAAGGUAGUUGCCGGCGUUUCCAGCACUGCUUUUCUCCCUCUCUAUUUCAUUAGACUGUAUUUAGUACAUUUCAGACUUUUCUAUUGUAUUUAGACCCUAGUAGAUGCUCGUGACUUGUGACACCCCGAUGUCGGGCUGUAUUCAUUUUCGCACUUGUUUUAUUUCGCUAAAUCUGUAGUUGUUGGGGAUUUAUCCUUAUAAAUGACUUAAAUUGACUUAUUAAACUGUUAAAACUGAAUUUGGGAAUUGUGUCGACUGGCCUUGUCUUCACGAGAGGCGCUAUCACGACCGGGUCCGGUUUAGGGUCGUGACACAACUCUUGGAUGCAAUGGUCCUGACUAAGAGGGUCCUUGGGCGUCUGUCAUGCUCAAGCUCUGGUAAGUAGAUCCACACUGUAUGAAAAAAAUAAGACGAAAUAGAGUUAAAGACAUAGAACACUAUGUGAGACAAUAAAACUUCCUAUCGGACACAUGCAAGAUAUGAUUGAGGCUAUUUUUUGCAAAAUGGCUUAUGUGGCCAAAAGGUGGCUAGAUGUUCAAACUCAACAAAAGUGACUUCUAAGACAUGGAAAAAAUUACUUUGCAGAAAUGAUCCAUUUUGUAGAAAUGGCCUAUGCGGACAAAAAAUGGCUAAGCAUGCAAAUUCAACAUAAUGGACCUUAAACUGAGGGAACACCUUGUUGCGGACUUAGGACUCUAAGACAUGGGUCACUGAACUACUUUUGCGAAAAUAGUUAUUUUUUGCAAAACGGCCUAUGUAGCCAAAAGCUGCUAGACAUGCAAAUUCGACAAGGACAGGCCUUAGAGUAGAGAGACACCUAAUUGUGGAUUGAAGACUCUCUAGACACAAUUAAACAAACCAUUUUGCAAAAAUAACCCUAUUUUGCAAAACGGCCGAUGUGGCCAAAAGUGGCUAGAGAUGCAAGAUUUGGCUACGACCCUCAAAGCCAAUAACCUAAGAGUCACUAAGAAGACCAAACCCUAUGUGGACUGCCUACGUAUCCUGUCCCGAAAGAUAAGAAUCAGGUAUGCGUAGUUCGGGAAGAUUGGAUAAGGGCGAGAAUUUUAAAAAAAAAAUUGAUUUGGAGAAAACAUAUUUUUUGUUUUUUUCUCUUCUUUUUUUUUUUGAAAAAUGAUGGGAAAGUGCAAAAUCUUUUUGGGUUUUUUCAUUUUUUGUUGGUUUUUUUCUUAAAAAAAUAUGAAAGAAAAACAUAAUUAGCCCUACUUUGUUUUAUUUUCACACUUCACCCUCUUCUCUCAUUUACCCCAAACCAUCAUUGGUCCGCCAAAUGAAUAUUUUUACCCUUGAAGAAUGAAAUAUGUAGCACAUAAAAUGCAUCAGGAUAGCCUUUUAUUUUGGGGUACACCUGUCCUAGACGGACCCAACCUCUGUGUUGAGUCCCUAAAGCCAAAUGCACAUGAUGCAAAUAAACGUUCCUACUAGGAAUUCAACAUGGGACUAUAUUAUUCUAGGUUUAAACCUAGGGUUGUGUUCUAGACCUGGCUUACCCGAGCGGACAGCUCGACCCAAAGUGGGGGCAACGUACCGGGAGCACGAAAGUCUACCCGGCCUUGUUGCUGACCCAAGACUCGUUUUAUUUGGUAUGACUUCUAAUAAAAAAGUGGGUCACGCAUACGUGUGCACCAUAUUUUAGAAGACUCAAAAGGAGGCGUAAGAAGACAAUUUAAUACAGUUCAAAUAAUAUCAAAGCAGUGAAUAAACGACAAUUAGCACAUUAGGUCCACAAAAUACAGUAAUAUCAACAAUAAAUAAAGCCAAGCAUAGAUCAUAUUAACAAGCUUGAAUUCUGAACCCUGAACCAGAAAUUCUAGGUUCUUGUCCCCAGCAGAGUCGCUAAAGCUGUCACAACUCCUUUUUCCCAAAAGGUGAUAAGGGAUAGGGAGUUUUUCCAACUAAAGUGACAAUAAUCGAAAUGGAAUUAUUUAUUUAGAUUCAGAGUUGCCACCUGGAAUAAUUUAUGAUGUCCCAAGUCACCGAUUUAUUUUAAAUCCCAAAUCGAGGAAAUUGACUCAAUUUAUGAUCUGCCAACACAGAAGACCGGGUAAGGAAUUUUGUUAACCUAGGAGAAGGUGUUAGGCAUUCUCGGGUUUUACGGUUUUAGCACGGUCUCUUUAAUCAUACCUGGCUUAACUAAAUUGUUAACUACGUGUUUUAGGACCCAUGUGCAUUUUCUCUUUUAAUUAAAAAAAGGCGAGUCACGCGUACGUGUACUCAUUUGUUUGGCGCGUCAAGAAUCAUGUCACGCGUACGUGCCCGUAAUUAACAAAGCUUUAUUAAUAUUAAGAAAGUUGGCCGAGGUUGUGCGAACGCAUACCUCGAUUUAUUUUGAAAAUCGUAAUUAUGUCACGCGAACGUGUACACAAUCACUUACUUUACAUAGACCAUAAUACUCAUUCAAAUUAUAUGUAUAUACAAAUAUAGUACCCCACAUAGAAAACAAGUAGAAGAAAAUAAAAUAAGGAACAGAAAAAAAUGAACAAGAAAGACACAAAUCAAGAAUCAACUCUUUACUUUCACAAAGUAAUUACCGUAACUUUGCCACAUGAACUCAUUUAAUUCAAAUUAACCUUCUCGUACAUACCCAGUUAUAUCAAACAAGAUUACAACCUCUAAUUCCAAAACUCGCAUUCUUCGCGUGUCAAUUCACCAGAACAAAGACAAUCAACACAUAAUCAAUUCUACAAUGAAUUUGUCAAAACAAUUGCAUGGUUUCUGGAAAAUGCAGUGAAGAGACAUGAACAAAUUCAACAAUUGCAUGGUUUCUGGAAAAUGCAUUGAAGAGACAUGAACAAAUUCAUCUCUAACAGCCAAAUCUAUACCAUGAUGAGGGUAAACUAAUCCAAACUUUUCACAUUUUUAAAGUAUCAAAUGUGCACAAGAACAACUUUUGAUGGCUUGCAACACGAGAUUAGACGCGAUCAUCAGUCCAAUACCAAUUAAUUAAUGCCACACCCUUUUCCAAAAUGCACCCUAUUCGAUUUACUAAACUCGCGAUCGAACUGACUAUGUAAGAAAACAAUUCACAAGUCCAAGUAAAAUGAAUUAUUCUGGGCAGUCAUGGAAUCAACAGAGAAGUUCUAGUUCAACAAAUAUGAGAAGGUGUAGAUUCGUUUCAAAUUACAAAACUGAAGAAAACUGGAUAGAACAAUGUAUCACGCACUACAUGGAUCACUGAAGACAUCCUUAUCAACUUUCAACACCAAGAGUAAUUGCCAAAACUAACUUUAAGAACAAUUGACAUAGGCUUUUGAAAAAAUCAACUGAAUCAUUUCACCCUAUGUGUAAUCUCAGGGAAACAAGCAAAAUAUUUAAAGGGACUGCUCACAGAUGCAGCAGAUGUACAGUUUCGAGAAUAUUAGACUUAAAAAUGCAUUUCGCGAUGAGACAGGGAUACGAAUUGGCGCAAGCAUCACAUAGAAACUAGCAAAGGCCGAUGAAUCAGAGCAUCGAUAAAUAGAAAUUAAGUCAAUCACCCGUGAAUGAAGUUAUAACCUAAACAACUCAAUUUCCAAUUGCUCAUGUUCGAACAUAUCACUCAACAAAACCGAAUUUCCAAUGACAAGAACAGAAUGUCAAAUAUCUGUCCUUAAACGUAAACUGAGACUACAAUCACAGUAACCAAGAGAAUAGGGCAUCACCAUAUUUCAAUCACAUUAACAUUGCCGACAACAGAGAGAAUGAGAAAAGAUGAACCUGAAUUAAACUCUCGAUUAACCUUGUUCAGAAGCUAUUACAAGCAAAUCCGGCGCCGGAAUUUGUGCAUCCAGUAGCAAACGAGCAAGACAGCAAUAGAAAUUGAUUAGGAACCAACGAACUUGAACCUCACGAGAAGUCAACGACCCUCAACUAAUCUCCAUGUUUUUGGAACCCAAAGUCAGAGCGGAAACUUGAUUAUUUAUUUUUUGUGUAUUUUUGAAUUUGGAGUCAAAUUGAAACUAAGAAGAAUUAAAACUUUUUAUUUAUUUCCCUUCAGAUCUGUGAACGAGAUAACAAAGUGAGAACAUUAGACAGAAAAUGGUGAAACAGUGGUGGUUCGUCGAUGUUGUUCAACCAUGGCUGUCACCGGACUGUUACCGAUGAAACCGGGUGAGGAAAAUGAGGAAUGAGGUCAUUUUGGCCAUGGCUGGUUGGGUGUUUUUGGAAGAAGGCAACGGCACUUAGGUUCUAUGUUUUUGAGAUUGAGAUCGCAGCUUAGAGAUGGAGAAGAGUGAGGGAGAUGAUAGAGGCCGAUUUUGGUGGGUGUUGUGCGUCUCUUUCAAGAUUAGGUCUUUUAGCUUCCACUUUUUUUUAGUUUUCUCAUCUUUUUCCCCUUCAUUGAUUGUGUCGUGUGUGUGUGUUAAUCUAAGAAGAAGGAAGGGAAAAGGUCAUCUCAUCCGGGUGAGCAACCAAUUUUCAGGGGUUCUUCUAGGUUAGGCCUAGGGUUAAAGAAGAAGAAGGGUUCCUAGGUUGUGAGAUGAAGAAGAGGGAACGACUGGGAGGGGUGUUCUUCUCUAGGUUAGAAAAUUAGGUUUAGGGUCUUCAAGUAAUCAGGGAAAUGGUUGGGCUC